RNA transcript from Hyla sarda, 3789 nucleotides. It is a transcript of the gene named angiomotin like 1, with no coding region annotated. The record is from RefSeq and is a predicted model, not a curated record. NCBI's taxonomy places the organism in Eukaryota, Metazoa, Chordata, Amphibia, Anura, Hylidae. The transcript has 16 exons.
CCGGUGGAGCUCGUAGCAUGUCACAGCACGGUCGCCUCUUUUGAAUUUCAGAGCGAUCAGCGGUUUCCAGGCCUUACGUUGUGAAAACUAAGCAAGUCUGGGCAAUGGCUGCAUAUUUCCCAGAGAAUGAGAGAGAUCAUCAUCCACACCGCACUCCCAGCCCAGCGCCGCACUCCACACCAGCCUCCUCCUCUGCCUCCACGUUUUUCUAGAAGACAGAACUACAAAGGUGCCAUAACAACAAUCGUGUUUUUGUGGGAACAUGGAUGAGAGAUGGCUACAGGAUGAAAUGGGCAGAACACAGCACAUGGGAAUGGUUCACCGUAUGGGAUCAAGACGAGGAAGCAUCAAAUCCAAUGGCAUGGCACCGGAGUUCUGGUCAGAUCAGCCAGGUGCCUCCGCAGGAUACUACAACCUCUGUGUCCCUAUACCUUGUGAUGACAAUGGCUGUGUUUACCAGGACUGUCCACUCUACAUAACCAGCAAUGAGCAAUCAUCAGUAGUCGCUGAGUCACCAAACACCCUAAAAGAACAGGCUGGUGAAGAACAAAGGUCCAACUUCAUACCUCAAGAUUUUCACAGGAUACCAGAGGUGGAAAUGCGAGGUUCUGAAGAUGUCUCAACAGGAACUGUUCUUCAGCGACUGAUCCAAGAGCAGCUGAGAUAUGGAAAUCCCAAUGAGAAUAUGAACCUUCUGGCUAUACAGCAAGCCACAGGAAGUGCAGGACCAAGCAAUAUCAUCGCAAAUUCCAUUUCAUCUACUGAAAACCUCACCCAAGAAGACCCACAAAUGGUCGGCCAGUCAGCGAGGCAAGAACCACAGGGGCAAGAACAUCAGGUGGACAAUACUGUGAUGGAGAAAACCCUGAGGACAUCUCAGCCUCAACAAAACAACGAGGAGCUGCCAACCUACGAGGAAGCCAAGGCUCAGUCCCAGUUUUUUAGAGUUCAACCUCCUGGUCCUAUGGGUCCUGGUUUUUAUGUUGCCGGCAUUGUAGCCAACCAUAAAUCCAAAACUGAAGGAAGGCCGACAGUCAGCCGGGCCAACAGUGGACAGGCUCACCAAGACGAGGCACUUAAGGAACUCAAGCAGGGUCAUGUUCGCUCUAUGAGCGAGAGAAUAAUGCUGUCACUUGAGAGGAAUGGAGUUAAACAGCACUCUUCGGGCAGCAUUAAAGGACUUAAAAAUGGGGCUCCAUCUCCAGCUCCAAGCUUAGGGAAAGGAGGGGAACAAAGAGGACCCCCACCGGACUAUCCCCACAAGAUCAAACAAGCUCCAACUCCUGUGAAUAAAAUGCAAGAACAGGGGCACUUUUACAACGAUCAGCAACAUCUCAUGGUACACGAAAUGAUGAAACCUUACCCCACAUCACAACCGAACCGAACCGAGGUGUCUGCUCUCCGGUACCAGCAUCCUCCAGAAUAUAAUGUCACCAGCCGGCAGCAGCCUCCGGUCCCGUUCCCAUUGCACCCUCACAGUCCUAUGUCCUCUCAAGUGUCCUCAGUCAGCAGCUCCUUGCACUCUGCCUCCCUCCCAAUGUUUCCAAUGUCUAUGGCUUCCCACCCCACCCCGUCCCCAUCUCCUUCCCCGGGCCAACAACUUCCCCCCGAAGCCUUCGCCAUUGUGGAACGGGCUCACCAGAUGGUGGAGAUGUUAACCAAGGAGAACAGCAACUUGAAGCAGCACCUUGAAAGCUGCUAUGACAAAGCGGACAAGCUCCAUAAGUUUGAAGCUGAAAUCCAGAAGAUUUCGGAGGCUUACGAGAGCCUGGUGAAGUCGUCCACAAAGAGGGAAACGUUAGAUAAGGCCAUGAAAAAUAAGCUGGAGGGGGAAAUCCGGAGGCUGCACGACUUCAACCUGGAUCUGAGAGAUCGGCUUGAAACAGCCAACAGGCAGCUGGCCAACAGGGAGUAUAAUGGGCACGAGGACGCAGCGGAAGAGGGGCACUACGCCUUGAAAAACAAAGAACAGUUGAAGGAGAUGGAGGGGCUGCAGCGGGAACUGGCGGCUUUGCGUACGACCAACGAAGAGCAGAGGAGGCAUAUCGACAUCCUAGACCAAGCUUUGAAUAAUGCCCAGGCCAAAGUGGUCAAACUAGAAGAAGAGCUGCGCAAGAAACAAGUCUACGUGGAGGAGGUGGAGAAGCUGCAGCAGGCCCUGACGCAGCUGCAGGCGGCGGGAGAGAAGAGGGAGCAGCUGGAGCGGCGGCUGCGUACGCGACUGGAGAGAGAGCUGGAGUGUCUGAGGAUGCAGCAGAGACAAGCAAACCAUCAGGCAUCUAACAACUCAGAUUAUAGUGCUCCAGCCCUGAUGGAUCUGCUGAGGAAGAAGGAAGAGACCAUCUUGGCUCUGGAAGCAGAUACGACCAAAUGGGAACAGAAAUACUUAGAGGAAAGCGCAAAGCGGCAUUUUGCCAUGGACGCUGCCAGCACAGCCAUAUCCCAGACGGAUUCGACAAUCAUGAGUCAUUCGAGGAAUGGAAGUCACAACGAUAGCUCAUACGAUGUACGAAUGUGGCACGAAGAGGAAGAGAUCGUUCAGGCCAAUAGAAAGUUCCAGGACAUGGAACACACGAUAAAGAAUCUUCAUGCCAAAAUCAUAGAGCAAGACGCCAUGAUAAAAGUUCUCCAUCAACGUUCUCGAAAAGAUCAGGGCAAGAAUGACAACUCCAGCUUACGCCCCGCGCGGUCUGUGCCGUCUAUAGCCGCUGUGGCUGCUGUCACCUCGGGGUCCCACUCACGGCAGACGUCUCUGACCACCAAUCAGGCAGCAGAAGAGAAGAAGGAGGAAAAGAAUCGUAAAGGAAGUUUCGGGCUUCUCCAAAAUAAAGAAGGCAAAUACAAUCAUGAGACAAGCCCUUCACCUUCCUUAGCACUUCCUCUACCUUCAUUCAUGCUACCGCCACCACCUCCUUCAGUUCAACCCACCAUGACUGUGUCACAUACCAAAACCGGGAGUAAAGACAACAGCACCCAGACAGACAAGAGCUCUGAUCUCUUUUGGCCAAACUGCUCUUCGUUACCAGGUCGGGGGAGAAUAAAUAUGACCCCAUCCAGUAGUCCUCUUCUACGUCAUCCCAACACCAACAAGGAGAAGUCAGAACAUUCCCCUGUCCUCGGCAAGACUCUAGACUCUAAACUUAGAGCUGGCACUCCAAACCACUCCAAACUCCAGACUGAUCUUUCGGAGGCUGACAACACAAUGGAGGUGCUUAUCUGAGGGCUUGUUCAGACUCCGCUGCUUCUCGUGGCUCUAUAUAUCCACGUGGACUACAACAUUGUAAGACAUUGCUAAGAAAAUAUUAGACAAUUGAGUAGAAACUCAACUCGGACAAGUUACUUUUCCAGCUGGAACAGGCGGAUUAUUAAUAACUUUGGAUUACUGUAAAAUGAUGUCUAUACUUUGAAGACCGACCGAGAUGAGGACCGACUCUCCUGCCGUAUACAUAACUGCAUGCUAUAAAGAGUCUUCAAAGAUUCUACAAGCGUGCGGUGCCGCUUCCAUGCGUGGAUGGAGAGGUCCGAUCCGGUCAGUCAUUCUCUGAUGUCAAACCUAUGGCUGAAGUGUAUACUAGAGAUAUGAAUCCUUCUAGUGCACGUGACCCUCUUGUGAUAGGCAAUCGUUCUCUGCUGCCUGUAGUUGUGGGGUCAUCUCUGCGGUAUUUUCUUCUGUGUAAAUUGCUCAGCAGCUUGAAGCUUCUACUUAAUGUGCACAUUCUCUUCCCCUUGUCUUUUCUUGGAAUAUAUUUUUAUAAUAAAAGCUUUUUCUUUUUUGUAAAAAAAUAAAAA